GCUAUGUCUCCUUCUCCUUUUCGUCUCUUUCUUUGAAAACCCUAGAAAUCUCAGGUUUUUAAGGAAAAGAGGACUUUGAUUCGGUGCAAUUUUAUCCUUUUCUCCUUUUUUUGUCGGUGUACAUAUGGGGUUAUAUUUCGCGGGAUCCCCAAUUUUCUAAGAAAAAAUUGGUUGUUAGAAGUUGGUGCUAUGGAGAGAUCCAAUAGCAGAGAUUUCAAAGACUUGACUAGCUCCUCUGGCUCCAUCUCAGAUGGUGCCCUCUUUGAUGCAUCACAAUAUGCAUUUUUUGGGCGAGAUAUAGCGGAGGAAGUUGAAUUGGGUGGUUUAGAGGACGGACAAGACAAUAGUGAUCUGGGUGUUGGAGGUGGAUUAGGUGAUGACGAGAUACAGGAGUAUCAUUUAUUUGAGAAAGACGAGGGAUCUGUGGUGGGCUCAUUAUCGGACAUAGAUGAUCUAGCAACGACAUUUUCAAAGUUGAACAGAAAUGUCACUGGACCAAGGCAUCCUGGUGUUAUUGGUGACCGUGGAUCAGGCUCUUUUUCAAGGGAAAGUUCAUCUGCAGCUGAUUGGGCGAAAGAAGCAGACUUUCAUGAUUGGUUUGAUCAGCAUUUAUCUGACACUGAAUGUUACCAGGAAAGCAAAAAAUGGUCUUCACAGCCACAUAUCUCUGCAGUGCUUGCAGAGUCAAAACCAUUGUAUAGAACAUCCUCAUACCCCGAGCAACCCCCACAACCUCAACAACUUCAGCACUACUCUAGUGAACCCAUUUUACUACCGAAAUCAUCUUAUACUUCUUUUCCUCCUGGUGGUAGAUCUCAACCCUCACCACAUAGCCUUUCGCGACAAAACAUGUCAUCUCUUUCUGCUGGACCUCAGUCUCCCUAUUCUUCUCUGAAUCUCUCUUCGUUGCCGAACUCUAAUCUGCAUUUGACAGGCUUGGCUCAUGGGCUUCACUAUGGUAGUGGAAACAUCCAACAUUUGAACCCUACUGGUCUUUCUCAUAAUUCUAGGUUGCAAAACCAGUGGAGCAGUCAUGCAGGACUCAUCCAUGGGGACCAUUCUGGUCUCUUAGAUAGUGUCUUGCAGCAUCAAUUUCCUCAUCAAAACAGCUUACUAUCUCCCCAGUUACUGUCCCCACAGCAGCUCCAA
This 1149-nucleotide unclassified non-coding RNA is filed under the name Hevea brasiliensis (rubber tree). Lineage: Eukaryota; Viridiplantae; Streptophyta; Magnoliopsida; Malpighiales; Euphorbiaceae. The record is from RNAcentral.